GUUUCCUGUAAGAUAUUCCCUUCUUGCUGUGCAUGGACUUAACUACUGCAAGUAAAAUAUAUUUACAUCUAUUGUUCUUGAAUAGAUCUGCUUCAGAGUUUGUUUUUAAGUUGUAUCCUUCCGGUCUGAUUAUUGCAUUUCUUUUCCUUUCUAGUGCCAAGGUCACAGCCAAAAGUUGUCUCCGAUGAAGAUCUGACUGCAACUGAGCAAGCUGCUCAUGAAGAGAGGUCUAAAUGAAACAGUCCCUCUGAUGACGCCACAAAUCUGGGAAUGAAGAACUUCUUCGACCUGAUUGGAAAUGGCAUUGCGGAGCUGAAACUUAACUGGAGGAAACAUAGCUCCCGAAGAAGGAAAUAUAAUGCACUUUAAAGAUCUGACUUCUGGUGAAAAAUUCAAGCCUAGAGAAAACUUGUCCGCUUUGUUCAGAAGAAUGGGUUGGACAAUUUUCUUCAGUUCCACAGGAUAUCUGAGUGCCAUGCUGAGCUUGAUCUCUGCAGCAUGCUCUGUGCUUCUCAUCUCUUCCUGAUGCACUGCAUGGUCAGCUCUUUAAAUGCAAGCUCCCUGAAGGGCCAUCUUCAGCACUACCCAUUGCAUAGUCCUAUAUUGCUGAUACUGAACAGCAGUUCCUACCAGCUCUAUGGUAGAUAUUAUCCUGAAGGGGAGGAUAAAGAAACUGGCCACCAAGAUGGUAAUCACUAGUGGAAAUGAAGAAGAUAAAGGCAGUCAAGAAAAGGAAAGCAAAGAAGAAACCAUCUUGGCAAUGCUUGGAAUUAUUGGGACAAUUCUGAACCUCAUUGUGAUCAUUUUUGUGUACAUUUACACAACGUUGUAAACUAGCAGGCAUGCAAAUAGAACAGAUAAAACGGCCAUUAAGAGUGACAACAAACAUUGCUGACUAUUGACAAGUUGUUUAAUCAGAAUUGACUCUGUAUUAUAUUAACACAUCAUAAAAGCACUGCCUGCAGGCAGCGAAGGCUGAAGCACAAUUAAUUUAACAAGACUUCUUCACGCAGUAACAAGCUAAACUCUUCUGUCCUGCCCUCUUCCUUUCGCUUUGGUUUUCGGUUUGGGGGAAACAUGACUGCAAUUAUGUAAGUUGUAGCUUUGAAGAAAUCCACCCGGGUUAUGUUAUUUUAACACAAUUUAAAAAGAGGGGAAAAAAAAGAAAAAAAAAAAAAAGAAACUGUACACUAUAUACAAUUAAAAAUGUAUACUGUAUACCUGCAAAGAUGGAGCUCUAUGAUAGCUACAUAGCACAGAUCACGUGUCCGUUAGGUCAAAUGAUAUUUUUUCUCUUGGUUUAUGCUUUUACUUACAUCGAAUCUGACAGGCUUUUUGUUUAGAAUGAACAUAUGGUGCAAUCAUGAAAAAAAAAAAAAACCAACAAAAAAACCAAUUCUAUUGAGCAAGAUCUGCCUAAAACUGAUGCGAUGUUGGGAGAAAUGUGGUAUGUGGUUAUUUUAACUUUCUCAUUUGCUUAACAUCUGUGUCUGUUCAUACCAAUGUUUAUAAAUAUAUAUUUUUAAUAAAUGUGCUAUAUUUUUAGCA
Molecule: long non-coding RNA, 1548 nt
Organism: Coturnix japonica (Japanese quail)
Lineage: Eukaryota; Metazoa; Chordata; Aves; Galliformes; Phasianidae
Source: Ensembl